Molecule: non-coding RNA, 300 nt
Organism: Plectropomus leopardus (leopard coralgrouper)
Lineage: Eukaryota; Metazoa; Chordata; Actinopteri; Perciformes; Serranidae
Source: RefSeq, a predicted model, not a curated record
CUUUUUUGGGUGCGUCGACUCGAGGCAACACUGUACCACACUGGUAAUGAAAAAAAGAGAGUUAUCAUUUCAAAUUUGAAGAAACUUUAUUUUAAAAAAAACAUGGAAAAUACUCAAUAACCUCCAAAGGUUACACCCUGCUGACAAAAAACAGCUCAUGCUGGAAGCUGGUCUUAGCUGGUCUUAGCUGGUCUUUGGUGGUUUUAGCUGGUCUUAGCUGAUCUUUCAUGGUUUUAGCUGGUCUUAGCUGGUCUUUGCUGGUCUUUGGUGGUUUUAGCUGGUCUUUUAUGGUUUUAGCUG